This is a long non-coding RNA of Gambusia affinis (western mosquitofish), 617 nucleotides long. RefSeq lists it as uncharacterized. The record is from RefSeq and is a predicted model, not a curated record. The transcript has 4 exons. NCBI's taxonomy places the organism in Eukaryota, Metazoa, Chordata, Actinopteri, Cyprinodontiformes, Poeciliidae.
UUCGGUGUAAAAACAAUCGCGAUAAAACAGUAAAGAGGAAUUCUCAUUACAUUUCAUAAAGGUGAGCAAACUUUGCUACCAAGCAUCGCUCAUCAACAAGUGUGGCUGGCUAAUAUCCAGAGGGCACACAGGACCAUAUCUAUAUGUCACGGGUUUACGCCGAUCAUCACUUCAUUUACGAUGCAGAUGUAUAUCUAUGGAGCAGAAGUGCAGAACUCGUAAUUCUGUCGCACAGCUCUUAAAAAGAAGACAAGUGAAGUGACACCAUGAUGGAAGAAUAGGACAAAGAACAAAGUGAAGCUAAGUGUUGAAGACUCUCCCCUAUCAUUAAAAUGUGUUCGCUGUUGCUACAGAUUUGCUAUAAAAGCCGCUAAGAACAUUCUGCAUGUGGAGGAGUGGAGAAGAUAGGUGGCUGAUGGUGCCAGUCAAAUUUCAGGGGAGGAGUAGGGAUCUUUUAAUGAUUCUCCCAGGAGACCAGAAGGGACAGACUGAAGAGCCGGACCAGUGAUGGGUAUGAGAUGCUGGAGGCAAAGAGUUGCCAUGGGACCCAUUGACUACUUCUCUCACUGAUGACCUCAUUGACCAACCUGUCAAUGUCAGUGGAUGACUUUGAUUUG